This 21-nucleotide non-coding RNA is filed under the name Caenorhabditis elegans. The record is from RNAcentral. Lineage: Eukaryota; Metazoa; Nematoda; Chromadorea; Rhabditida; Rhabditidae.
UCUUCCAGCAUUAUAUUUUGU